Molecule: long non-coding RNA, 241 nt
Organism: Hippocampus comes (tiger tail seahorse)
Lineage: Eukaryota; Metazoa; Chordata; Actinopteri; Syngnathiformes; Syngnathidae
Exons: 3
Source: RefSeq, a predicted model, not a curated record
AUAUAUUGUGCACUUACAGAGGAACAAUGAGAUGGCAGGAUGGACGUAUCUACACGGGGAACUUUAAAAAUGGACUGGAGGAUGGCUAUGGCGAAUGCAUGAUUCCUGACAAACUGCUGAAUAAAGCAGGUUGCUAUCAAGGACAGUGGCGAGAUGGCAAGAUACAUGGCUUUGGCAUCUACAGGUAUGCUACUGGUGAGGUAUACGAGGGUUGCUUCAAUGACGGCCAGCGCCACGGCUA